RNAcentral lists this ribosomal RNA (419 nucleotides) under Proasellus hermallensis. RNAcentral describes it as "partial 16S ribosomal RNA". It matches the Rfam family "Bacterial large subunit ribosomal RNA", at positions 1936 to 2597 of the family's 2925-position model. The record is from RNAcentral. Lineage: Eukaryota; Metazoa; Arthropoda; Malacostraca; Isopoda; Asellidae.
GUACUUUGACUGUGCAAAGGUAGCAUAAUCACUUGUCUUUUAAUUGGAGGCUGGAAUGAAGGAGGCGACGAAAUUUAGACUAUUAGUGUAUAAUAUAAAAUUAACAUGGAGGUCAAAAGGCAGCCAUACAUCAAAGGGACGAUAAGACCCUAUAAAACUUUACUAUAAGGUAAGUCUACUAGGUAAAAUUUAAAGUUAUAGUUUAACUGGGGCGGUUUAUAUAAAAACAAUUGUAAAAUAAAUAUUUUAAAUAAAAUCAGAGAACUCUUGUAUGAAAUAAAUAAGUUACUUUAGGGAUAACAGCACAAUUCUCCCAGAGAGUCCUAAUUGGCGGGAGAGCUUGUGACCUCGAUGUUGAAUUGGGGUGUCUGGUAUAAGUAGAAAUAUUCUAAGAUAGUCUGUUCGACUAUUAAACCCCC